AAUACUGCGCAAUGGAGGGAACUCUGACGCAGCGACGCCGCGUGAGCGAUGAAGGUCUUCGGAUCGUAAAGCUCUGUUCUUGGGGAUGAAGGUAUUCGGACUUGUCGGUACUUUAGGAGGAAGCCCCGGCUCACUACGUGCCACCAGUCGCGGUAAUACGUAGGGUGCAAGUGUUGUCCGGAAUUAUUGGGCGUAAAGGGUGCGUAGGCGUCCUUUUAAGUCAGAUGUGAAAGCCCACGGCUUAACCGUGGGACUGAAUUUGAAACUGGAGGGCUUGAGUAUCGGAGAGGGUAGUGGAAUUCCCAGUGUAGCGGUGGAAUGCGUAGAUAUUGGGAGGAACACCAGUGGCGAAGGCGACUACCUGGACGAAAACUGACGCUGAGGCACGAAAGCUAGGGGAGCAAAC
Molecule: ribosomal RNA, 406 nt
Filed under: uncultured bacterium
Lineage: Bacteria
Description: partial 16S ribosomal RNA
Rfam family: Bacterial small subunit ribosomal RNA
Source: RNAcentral